Molecule: long non-coding RNA, 4641 nt
Organism: Equus caballus (horse)
Lineage: Eukaryota; Metazoa; Chordata; Mammalia; Perissodactyla; Equidae
Source: RefSeq, a predicted model, not a curated record
UCUGGAGACCCCGGGGAAGCAGCCACAGCAAACUGGACCUUGCACUUGGCAGAGAGCCUCAGGGAGGCUUAGGGGCUUCCAGCCUCCUUUCAGUGGUCCUGCCCCUGCCCAGGUGAGUCAAGGUUGGUCGGGGGUGAGACCCGGCCAGUGGGCUGUCCAGCGGCUGUAGGUUUCUUGAAGAGUCAAAAUCCUGUCAGUCCUCCAGAUGUACGGAAGGGGACUGUCAAGCUUUCCUCUCACCCGUUCACUCCUCCUGGGAGUGGCCAUGGCCCAGGGCCUGUCAACUGGUGACCUUCCUCUGGGGGAGCCAGGACUCCUCCUUAAACCAUCCACACCUCCUUGGGUGCUGUUUCCAGGCAGGAAACGUGGAAGGUGUUGGCCAACACCCCCUCCCGUUUUGUAUAGAAAAUGUAGAAUUUAGGAUUUUUGAGGUUUGGCCUGCAGUGCCAAGGUGUGUGGCCAUGUGGAACAGUGAAGCUGGAGGACACUGAGGGAAGGGCACAGCUGCCACGGGCUGCCUCCCUCACCCCAUAAACAAUGCCCUAUGUCCUCCCCUCGCCCCCACCUUCAGACUUGGUGGGUACCGUAUCCUGAUGGGAGGGCGUGGAUGUGGAGGGGAGGUUGUGGGAAGUUACCAGAACUUGGCAGCAGUUUCCCUGUCUCUCUGGCAGCCUGAAACAAAGCCCCAGGGCAGACCUGGCUCAGCUGUAGACACCGGCUCUGGCUACAGAGACCGUGACCUAAUUUCCAGUUUUCUAACUGGCCCUGCUAUGGAGGCGAGGUAUCCCAAGGCUCUGUAGUGGCCGGGAUCUGGUAGGCACUCAAGAAACAUGUGUUGACCGAAUGCAUGUGUGAAUGCCCUCGAAGCCAAGGAAUAGGCUGGCCACCCUGCGGAGGGACAGACUCCAGGUCUCCGUCCGGCUGCGGCUGCCUCCCGUGCUGUGUCCAGCUGGACACAGGCUGGUCUCCUCUUCCUCCAGCCCCACCCGGGACCGAGCAAGCAGCCUCUGGGGAUCCUUCUUCUCAGCCUCGGCAGGGUCCGUUCCCAGCUCCAGGGCAUCCUUGGAAAGCAUGCACUUGGUACCUCGCUCCUGGCAGCCAAGAAGUGGAAGAGCCCAGCUCCAGCUGCUGGCUCCUCGAGGCCUUUGUCCACCUCAUCUGCCCAGCAAUGGUCUCUGUCCCAGCCAGGCUGCCUCUGGGGAACCUCUCAGAAACUUCUCAGGAGAGGCCCAGCCUCAGAGCGGGUGUGACAAGGUCUUGCUCCGGCCUCCUGCUCAGCGAUCAUCUGUAUCUUCCUUCUGAGCAUGGUCACACUGCCUCCUCCCGACGGGGGGAAGGACAGAGGGGUUUCCCCACUUACGCCUGUCCAUUUUGGGGAGGGCUUUUGAUGGUCAGGCUGGGCCCUCCACACCCUGGGAGCGUGGAUCAGGGACCCUGGAGCUCUCCUACAUCCUGCGCCAUCCUGAGGGUUCCCAACAGGCUUCCCCGCCUUAGCAGAUCCAAACCCCUCUCCUUCACCCCACCUCGUCCCACCUGCCUUGGUGAAUGGCUCCCCUAACUGCCUAGCGGCUCAGCUCUAGAACCCUGGAGUAGUUCUUGCUGCCUCUCUCUCACACCCACACCGUCUCAAGAAAUUCUGUCGGCUCUGACUUUAAAGAAUAACCAGAAGCCAGAAACUUCUUCCCAUCCCCACCGCCCUGCCCUGGUCAGAGCCACCAUCGAGUCUUGUGUGGAGGGUAGCUGUGGCCCCCUAAAUGGUCUCCCUGAUGACACCCUUGCCCCUGCCAGUUUAUUGUUUACCAGCAGCCCGAGGGGUCCUGCUAAAACCAUAGUCGGUCAUGUCCCUUCUCAGCUCACAGCCCUGCCAGGUCCCUCCGCAGCCCAUAGUCCCACACAAUCUGCUCCGCUGCUACUCUCUGAACUCCUCCUUUGUUCUACCCUCCCGCUCCCGCCCGCCAGCCACACUGGCUAUCCCUUGAAAUCAACUAGUAUGCUCCUGCCUCAGGGCCUUUGCUCUUGUUGUGUCCUCAGCCUGGAAUGCUCUUCCUCUAGAUAGCUGCAUGGCUCACUCCUUCCUUCAGGUCUCUGCUCAGAUGUCACCUCCUCAGACAGAAUUUUCUCGACCACCCUCUGUCGAUGUUCCCCACCCCAUCCCUCUCAAGCCUCUUGAGAGGUUGGUGCUCUUGAGAACAUCAUGCUUAAAGCAGGCUGGGGCGCUUCUCCUGUGGGCUGGGCAUCUGGUUGGGAGGUUUUCAAGUGUUAAUUCAGCCUCAUAACAGCAGCACGAGGCAGCUCUCACGAUCACGUUUCCAGACAAGGAAACUGGGGCUGAGAGAGACUAACAGACGUUUUUAAGCUUUAUUGAGACAUAAGUCACAUACUAUAAAAUCCACCUAUUUAAAAUAUCAAUGUUUUUUAGUAUAGUCACAGAGUUGUGCAACCCUCACCACAAUCAAUUUUGGAAGGUUUCCAUUACCCCAGAAGAGUAUCCGUUAGCAGUUGCUCCCCACUCUACCGUCAAUCUGCCUUCUGUCUCUCAGGAUUGGCUUGUGCUUCACAUUUCUUGGAAACGGGAUUGUGCAAUAUGUGGUAUUGUGUGACUGGCUUAUUUUGUGCUAGAUUUUACAACUCCGCGAUGUUAUUAAAUAACCAAUGGUUAAACUACACACUUUCAAAUGUGUUAGAAAGGAACAACAGUAGAUAUUUGUUAGACAGUCCGUGAGACAGGAUGAUGGGGAAGAAGAAAGACGGUGGGUCUGGAAGAGAUGUCUGUACAUCCACGUUCACAGCAUCCUUAUUCACGACAGCUCAAACGCAGGCACAGCCCAAGCAUCCUUGGAUGGAUGAGAGGGUGAGCAAAUGUGGUCUAUACAUGCAAUGGAAUAUUAUUCAGUCUUAAAAAGUAAGGACAUUCUGACACAUGGGACAAGGUGAAUGAACCUUGAGGACAGUAUGCUAAGUGAAAUAAGCCAAUCAAAAAAGAAAAAAUACAGUAUGAUUUCACUUAUCUGAGGUACCCCGAGAAGUCAAAUUCAUAGAGACAGAAAGUAGACUGGUGGUUGCUGGGGGCUGAGGCGGGGGACAAGGAGAGUUAUUGCUUGGUGGGGACAGAGUUUCAGUUUUGCAAGAUGAAGCGUUCUGGAGGUGGGCGGUGCUGCUGGUUGCACAUUAUGAAUGUAUUUGAUACCACUGAACUGUACAGUUAAAAAUGGUUACAAUGGUAAAUUUUAUGUUAUGUGUAUUUUACCACAAUAAAAAAAUUGGGAAAAAGAAAAGAAAGGCCCUGGGCUAGGAGUCACAGGGCUUGAGUUCUUGUCCUGAUUCUGCCUUUCACUGUGUGACUGUGUGCAAGACAGCAACCUCUCUGGGGAUGCUAACAGGUUUGUCCAAGUCACACAGCGACUGAGGGAAAGUGACUACAGUGGCCGCGCUUCAGGGCAACUCCCAGGGCGGGCCUUCAGCAGAGGAGUCUGUCCCAGCCGUGGCCCUGGGUUCCUGCUUGCCAUCCGCCCCAGCGUCUCUCUGGUCUCCCCGGCCAGCUCCUCAGGAGCCGAGGGGAACCCCUGGAGCAUUGACUGGAUUCCCAGAAGACCCGUGUUCAAAUUUCAGUUCGCUCCUCCCCAGCUGCAUGCCUACCUCCGUGAAGCUCAGUCCCUUCCUCUGUAAAAUGGGACAACACACACACCCACAGCCCGGGGCUCUGAAAACCACACGUGAUAAAGCACAUGGCCGGCACGCGAUGAGUGCCUGGCAAACCAUCUGCGUCCUCUCCCGGGGAAGAAAGCUUUUGCCGAAUGCGGAUGGGAGGGCAGGAGGAGGCGCAAGUUCUGAAGCUCAGGCCGUUCUUUCCACCUGGCUCUCUCUUGGGGAUCUGGAGCCACAGCCCCUCCCCCAUUCUGUGUUCAGCCCUGAGGCUGCCAGGUGGUGUUGGGGACAGGGCACCUGUCCCCACAUUUGUGGGGCGGCAAGGCAGAAACAAACUGCUUGUUUAUUCUCCCCGCCUGGGACACUGCGGUCUCCUUGCUGGAGCAUCUAUCUCUGUGGAAAUCUUGGCUGAGAUUUAUCGUCCUUUUCCUGCUGGCUGCAGACUGUGUGAAGGUAAGAAACGUCCUUUUUGAGGCAAUAAAAUAUAAAAUGGAACCCAAUUUCUCUCCAGGGUAAGAAUCAUUAUGUUUGACAAUGGCUGUAAAGUGUGCGGCAGUGAGGGGCAGGGUUGGCUCCCGCGGGCCUGGGUGGAGGAGGGGGACGGGAGCCACCCCUGCGAGAUGGAGUGACUGCGCAGUCACCAAAGUGGGCCUGGAAGGAGCCAGGAACCAGAGACGCCACCCACAGCCCAUCUGAUGCCCCAGUACGCUUGAGGUCCCCAUCCCUGGAGGUCCCCACAUGGAUUCACGCACAUUUAUCAAGUACCUACGCGAGGCAGCGAGAGGUUAGCAGGCCGCCCUGCUUGCUAAACCCGGCACUUUGGAGAGAGAGAAUAAACAUGUGCUCAACUAAAUUAAAUUGAAUUGAGCAUUCAGGAGUUUGGGUCUUACGCAGGGGUGUGGCGAACCCAAGUUUUAAGAGAUGUUAUGUGUGUGUGUUUCCAUCCUUUCGAGAUCGAAUUUACAAAGAGCUUAAGUCUUUUCUUUUUUUUAAAGA